Molecule: ribosomal RNA, 1188 nt
Filed under: Phaeocystis antarctica
Lineage: Eukaryota; Haptophyta; Phaeocystales; Phaeocystaceae
Description: partial Bacterial large subunit ribosomal RNA
Rfam family: Bacterial large subunit ribosomal RNA
Source: RNAcentral
CAUUUUUUUUUCAGGAAAAAGUAAGGUUUAUUAAUUCGUAGCUUAUAACCGCAACAGGUAGAUUAAUAAAAAAUAUUAAAACGUAAAGAAUAAUAAAAGAUAAGGAACUCGGCAAAUAAUCUCCGUAACUUUGGAAAAAGGAGAUCUGAUUUAAUAGAUACUAUUAAUCAUUAAUGAUAAUUCAAUGAGCGACUUUUUAAUAAAAAAUUAAAAUAACGCAAAUUUUAUAAAAAAAGUAUGUUAUUUGAUUGGUUCUCAAUGCUUUAAACUGAAAAAAGAGGUCAGACGCUUUUUAAUAAGGAAAAGCAAAUAGAUGUCUUAUUUUGAGGAUAAUAAUGUAGCGAAAUUCCUUGACUUUUAAUUGAAGUCCUGCAUGAAGCCAUUAACGACUCAUUGACUCUCUUGUCUUUUAUUCUUGUGAAUUUGAAAUGAAGGUGAAGAUUCCUUCUUCUUAAAGUAAGACGAAAAGACCCUAUCAAUCUUUACUCAACGCUGGCGUUGCUUUUUUAAAUUUAUUCGUUUAGUAGUAGAUAGCUGUUUUUGCUUGUAACUUUUUGAAAAACUAUCCUAUAUUUUAUUAAAGCUAUUUUAUUAUUAUUUAAAACAGCGCUUGCGGGUGAGUUUAUCUGGGAUAGAUCCCUUUUAAAAAGUAAUAAAGGAAUACAAAGAUAACCUUAAUUAAGAUAUCUUAAUUUUGAGCGAAAAAGUAAAUGUUUGUUUGACUGUAAGGCAUAAAAUUGUUUGAACAGCUAUGUUAAAUAGGUUUUAUUGAUCCGAUAGUGUUGAACGAAAAAGCUAUCGCUUAAUAGAUAAAAGAUACUGUAGGGAUAACAAGAUAAUAAAAACCAAGCGAUCAAAGCGACGUUUUUGAUUGUUAUAUCGAUGUCGGUUUAAAGCAUCCCGAUGGUGAAGAAGCUAUCAAGGGUUUAGCUGUUCGCUAACUAAGGCUUUCCAUGAACUGGGUUUAAAACGAUGCGAAUCAGUUUAGUUUCUAUCUGCUUGAUUAUUUAAGGUUUAAAGUUUUUUUCGCUAGUAUGAGAAGAUCGAUGAAAAGAAAGCCAAUAGUUAAAAACCUUUUUUUGGUUGUAUUGCCAUGCUUUUAUUGUUUAAAAAUUGAAAGCAUUAACUUUUGAAACAUUGCUUAAAUAACCUUAAAAUAGGUUUAAAACGAAAACUUUGAUCGGUCAA